Long non-coding RNA from Capsicum annuum, 1193 nucleotides. RefSeq lists it as uncharacterized. The record is from RefSeq and is a predicted model, not a curated record. NCBI's taxonomy places the organism in Eukaryota, Viridiplantae, Streptophyta, Magnoliopsida, Solanales, Solanaceae. The transcript is spliced from 2 exons.
GAACUUCCUUGAUUAGCUUAAUCUACCCAUUCCUAAUUUAACUAAACCAGCCCAAAUCCACAUCUCUUUUAAUUUUAACCCAGUCCAAAAUCAACCAUCCCAGCCCAAUUCUGCACCCAACCGGCCCAACGAUAACAGCUUACCCCCAGCAGCCCACACCAGCCGCCGACCCGACCCGACCCGACCCGAGCCAAGCCUCUUCUCCCUUAAUAGUAACAACAACAACCCAACAACAAUGGUGUAUAACCCUUAACACCACCGUUAAUAACAAACAGCCAGCAACAACGUCAACAACGACAACGCCGUCCAAGCAACAACAACAAAAAUCAGACCCCAAUUCGACAAUAAUAGCUUCAAUGACAACAUCGUCAAAUCCAUAAACCCUAGUCAACCUAGCCAUUGCCAUCAAUUUUACUCUUUUACCCCGUCGUAAAACCAAUUUUGGCUAAAGUUUCAUCGACUUUUUCUUGCUCAACUCAUGUUCACCUCCCUUUUGGCAAGAAGCCAACAAAUACAUGCCCUCUCUGUCUGUGGGUUUGAAAUUCUCCAAGAAAAUCAAUUUAAAAUUCGGAUUUAAAUCCAAAACCCUAAUUCUUUUCCCCCCAAAUUCUCCUAUAAAUAGAUAGUGAGGGAUAGGGGUGAAGGAGGAGGACUUUGGGGAAAAAUUUCAGGGUUUUGGAGGUGCAUGCGUGUAACCUCAGGCAACAAUAUUCUCAAAGAACACACUCGGAAAAAUCAAUUUCGCCGAAAGAUUGAAUUCCGACAAGUUUAAAUUUAAACUUUUGUGGUGGAAGUUCGUAGUCAAGUCUCGUUGUCCUAAGUUCGCUGCUCCAAAAAAGAUAUACGCUGCCGAAUGAGUAUGAGCAACCGCCACCCGUUUAAAUUUGUUGACGACCUGCUGCACCAAGAGAGAGGGCUCAUCGAGGCGGUGAGAGAGGUGGGCAACAACAGAAUGAAAUUCAUAUUGAACAUAAUUUGGUUGAUGAAGAAAAUUUGGAUGAUCGUGGAGUACAAUAUGAAGGUAAUUUCAAUCUGUCGCUGGGUACAACUAGUGUUGAGUCGUAUUACUCCACAUUUGACUAUACUGGAGCCUUAACUAGUGAAGCAAAUUCUUUCCAUAAACAAAGUUCUGAUUUUGUAACUCCACCUGUUGGGGUAAGUGGCUUUAGCUAAUUUAGCAAAUACUUUUCUAA